GACGAACGCUGGCGGCGUGCUUAACACAUGCAAGUCGAACGGAAAGGCCUCUUUCGGGGGGUACUCGAGUGGCGAACGGGUGAGUAACACGUGAGUAACCUGCCCUUGACUUUGGGAUAACUUCAGGAAACUGGGGCUAAUACCGGAUAGGAGCUCCUGCUGCAUGGUGGGGGUUGGAAAGGUUCGGCGGUUGGGGAUGGACUCGCGGCUUAUCAGCUUGUUGGUGGGGUAGUGGCUUACCAAGGCUUUGACGGGUAGCCGGCCUGAGAGGGUGACCGGCCACAUUGGGACUGAGAUACGGCCCAGACUCCUACGGGAGGCAGCAGUGGGGAAUAUUGCACAAUGGGUGGAAGCCUGAUGCAGCAACGCCGUGUGCGGGAUGACGGCCUUCGGGUUGUAAACCGCUUUCGCUCAUGACGAAGCUUUGUGUGACGGUAGUGGGUAAAGAAGCACCGGCUAACUACGUG
Molecule: ribosomal RNA, 467 nt
Filed under: uncultured bacterium
Lineage: Bacteria
Description: partial 16S ribosomal RNA
Rfam family: Bacterial small subunit ribosomal RNA
Source: RNAcentral